GAUGAAGAACGUAGCGAAAUGCGAUAAGUAAUGUGAAUUGCAGAAUUCAGUGAAUCAUCGAAUCUUUGAACGCACAUUGCGCCCCUUGGUAUUCCGAGGGGCAUGCCUGUUCGAGCGUCAUUAUAACCCCUCAAGCUCAGCUUGGUGUUGGGGCCUGCUGCACUGGCAGCCCUUAAAAUCAGUGGCGGCGCCAUCUGGCUCUAAGCGUAGUAAUUCUUCUCGCUAUGGAGUCCUGGUGGAUGCUUGCUAUCAACCCCCAAUUUUUCUAUGGUUGACCUCGGAUCAGGUAGGGAUACCCGCUGAACUUAAGCAUAUCAAUAAGCGGAGGA
This 329-nucleotide unclassified non-coding RNA is filed under the name soil metagenome. RNAcentral's name for it is "partial contains 5.8S ribosomal RNA, internal transcribed spacer 2, and large subunit ribosomal RNA". The stretch from base 1 to 120 matches the Rfam family "5.8S ribosomal RNA", at positions 35 to 154 of the family's 154-position model. The record is from RNAcentral.